RNAcentral lists this ribosomal RNA (497 nucleotides) under uncultured bacterium. RNAcentral's name for it is "partial 16S ribosomal RNA". It matches the Rfam family "Bacterial small subunit ribosomal RNA", at positions 28 to 507 of the family's 1533-position model. The record is from RNAcentral.
GAUGAACGCUGGCGGCGUGCCUAAUACAUGCCAGUCGAGCGAACAGACGAGGAGCUUGCUCCUCUGACGUUAGCGGCGGACGGGUGAGUAACACGUGGAUCACCUACCUAUAAGACUGGGAUAACUUCGUGAAACCGGAGCUAAUACCGGAUAAUAUAUUGAACCGCAUGGUUCAAUAGUGAAAGACGGUUUUGCUGUCACUUAUAGAUGGAUCCGCGCCGCAUUAGCUAGUUGGUAAGGUAACGGCUUACCAAGGCGACGAUGCGUAGCCGGCCUGAGAGGGUGAUCGGCCACACUGGAACUGAGACACGGUCCAGACUCCUACGGGAGGCAGCAGUAGGGAAUCUUCCGCAAUGGGCGAAAGCCUGACGGAGCAACGCCGCGUGAGUGAUGAAGGUCUUCGGAUCGUAAAACUCUGUUAUUAGGGAAGAACAAAUGUGUAAGUAACUAUGCACGUCUUGACGGUACCUAAUCAGAAAGCCACGGCUAACUACGUG